This 718-nucleotide long non-coding RNA is filed under the name Homo sapiens (human). Its description in RNAcentral is "HSALNT0041347". The record is from RNAcentral. Lineage: Eukaryota; Metazoa; Chordata; Mammalia; Primates; Hominidae.
UUCAAACUCUCUUGAUAACAAACAUUCUGAAAUAAUUUAUUCUCCACCACUAGCUUUGUCUCCAUUAUACCCUUCACUUUCCCAAGGUGAAUGUGGGCUGGUCCCAAGUCAGGGCCAGCCAUUGCUCCCCUCAUCCUCCUGUAGAAACAUUCUGCUAACAUCUCUUAAUUAUAUAGUGUCCUAAGCCCAGCUUAGCUCAUCCAAGAGCUGGCUAAAUUUUCCUUACUGCAAGUCACACUACCUACAUAGUUGACCAAAGAGUUCAUAAAAGAACUGAAUCCCAAAGCUAUUAUUUCUCCUUUCCGAUUAUGAGAGAAAUUACAAUGUUAGUUUCACAGCAUUUUCCAUUUAAGAAAGGGAAACUAGACCCACUCUCCUGAGGGUCCAACUUUGUGCCCAGCCUGAUCCCGCUGGGCUAUUGCCUAAAAACCAAGUGGACAUAUAUGUGUGCAUUUGUGCAAGAGGGAGAGAGUUCUUAAUGCUGUGGAGAAAUAUGGUUUCUGACUUACUAGGAAAAUUGACCUGUUCUCAUGUUCCUUUGUAAUUACACAUGUAAGAUUCUCAUGCUUCUCCGUUUUUCUCCUCUAGCAAUUAUAGUCUAAGAAGAAACUUUUCAGUUAUAUAAAAAUCACCACCUGCUUUAGUUAUUUCUGUAGUUGUGACUGAGAAUCUCACCAUCCAGGCUCUUAAAACAGUGUCCAAGAAGGAUGCAAUAGGU